RNAcentral lists this ribosomal RNA (399 nucleotides) under uncultured bacterium. RNAcentral's name for it is "bacterial SSU rRNA". It matches the Rfam family "Bacterial small subunit ribosomal RNA", at positions 359 to 775 of the family's 1533-position model. The record is from RNAcentral.
GAAUCUUGCGCAAUGGGCGAAAGCCUGACGCAGCAACGCCGCGUGGGUGAUGAAGGCUCUCGGGUUGUAAACCCCUUUCAGCAGGGACGAAAUUGACGGUACCUGCAGAAGAAGCCCCGGCCAACUACGUGCCAGCAGCCGCGGUAACACGUAGGGGCCGAGCGUUGUCCGGAGUUACUGGGCGUAAAGGGCGCGCAGGCGGCCGGUCGCAUCGGCGGUGAAAGCCCCCCGCUCAACGGGGGAGGGUCCGUCGAGAUGGAUCGGCUGGAGGCAGGGAGAGGGCGGUGGAAUUCCGGGUGUAGUGGUGAAAUGCGUAGAGAUCCGGAGGAACACCAGUGGCGAAGGCGGCCGCCUGGACCUGACCUGACGCUGAGGCGCGAAGGCGUGGGGAGCGAACGG